RNAcentral lists this ribosomal RNA (2900 nucleotides) under Klebsiella pneumoniae MGH 48. RNAcentral describes it as "bacterial LSU rRNA". It matches the Rfam family "Bacterial large subunit ribosomal RNA". Lineage: Bacteria; Pseudomonadati; Pseudomonadota; Gammaproteobacteria; Enterobacterales; Enterobacteriaceae. The record is from RNAcentral.
UUAAGCGACUAAGCGUACACGGUGGAUGCCCUGGCAGUCAGAGGCGAUGAAGGACGUGCUAAUCUGCGAAAAGCGUCGGUAAGGUGAUAUGAACCGUUAUAGCCGGCGAUGUCCGAAUGGGGAAACCCAGUGCAAUUCGUUGCACUAUCGUUAACUGAAUACAUAGGUUAACGAGGCGAACCGGGGGAACUGAAACAUCUAAGUACCCCGAGGAAAAGAAAUCAACCGAGAUUCCCCCAGUAGCGGCGAGCGAACGGGGAGCAGCCCAGAGUCUGAAUCAGCUUGUGUGUUAGUGGAACGGUCUGGAAAGUCCGACGGUACAGGGUGAUAGUCCCGUACACCAAAAUGCACAGGUUGUGAACUCGAAGAGUAGGGCGGGACACGUGGUAUCCUGUCUGAAUAUGGGGGGACCAUCCUCCAAGGCUAAAUACUCCUGACUGACCGAUAGUGAACCAGUACCGUGAGGGAAAGGCGAAAAGAACCCCGGCGAGGGGAGUGAAAAAGAACCUGAAACCGUGUACGUACAAGCAGUGGGAGCACCUUCGGGUGUGACUGCGUACCUUUUGUAUAAUGGGUCAGCGACUUAUAUUCUGUAGCAAGGUUAACCGUAUAGGGGAGCCGCAGGGAAACCGAGUCUUAACUGGGCGUUAAGUUGCAGGGUAUAGACCCGAAACCCGGUGAUCUAGCCAUGGGCAGGUUGAAGGUUGGGUAACACUAACUGGAGGACCGAACCGACUAAUGUUGAAAAAUUAGCGGAUGACUUGUGGCUGGGGGUGAAAGGCCAAUCAAACCGGGAGAUAGCUGGUUCUCCCCGAAAGCUAUUUAGGUAGCGCCUCGUGAAUUCAUCUUCGGGGGUAGAGCACUGUUUCGGCUAGGGGGUCAUCCCGACUUACCAACCCGAUGCAAACUACGAAUACCGAAGAAUGUUAUCACGGGAGACACACGGCGGGUGCUAACGUCCGUCGUGAAGAGGGAAACAACCCAGACCGCCAGCUAAGGUCCCAAAGUCAUGGUUAAGUGGGAAACGAUGUGGGAAGGCACAGACAGCCAGGAUGUUGGCUUAGAAGCAGCCAUCAUUUAAAGAAAGCGUAAUAGCUCACUGGUCGAGUCGGCCUGCGCGGAAGAUGUAACGGGGCUAAACCAUGCACCGAAGCUGCGGCAGCGACACUAUGUGUUGUUGGGUAGGGGAGCGUUCUGUAAGCCUGCGAAGGUGACCUGUGAGGCUUGCUGGAGGUAUCAGAAGUGCGAAUGCUGACAUAAGUAACGAUAAAGCGGGUGAAAAGCCCGCUCGCCGGAAGACCAAGGGUUCCUGUCCAACGUUAAUCGGGGCAGGGUGAGUCGACCCCUAAGGCGAGGCCGAAAGGCGUAGUCGAUGGGAAACAGGUUAAUAUUCCUGUACUUGGUGUUACUGCGAAGGGGGGACGGAGAAGGCUAUGUUAGCCGGGCGACGGUUGUCCCGGUUUAAGCAUGUAGGCUGGUUAUCCAGGCAAAUCCGGAUAAUCAAGGCUGAGGUGUGAUGACGAGGCACUACGGUGCUGAAGUAACAAAUGCCCUGCUUCCAGGAAAAGCCUCUAAGCAUCAGGUAACAUCAAAUCGUACCCCAAACCGACACAGGUGGUCAGGUAGAGAAUACCAAGGCGCUUGAGAGAACUCGGGUGAAGGAACUAGGCAAAAUGGUGCCGUAACUUCGGGAGAAGGCACGCUGAUAUGUAGGUGAAGCCCCUGCGGGUGGAGCUGAAAUCAGUCGAAGAUACCAGCUGGCUGCAACUGUUUAUUAAAAACACAGCACUGUGCAAACACGAAAGUGGACGUAUACGGUGUGACGCCUGCCCGGUGCCGGAAGGUUAAUUGAUGGGGUUAUCCGUAAGGAGAAGCUCUUGAUCGAAGCCCCGGUAAACGGCGGCCGUAACUAUAACGGUCCUAAGGUAGCGAAAUUCCUUGUCGGGUAAGUUCCGACCUGCACGAAUGGCGUAAUGAUGGCCAGGCUGUCUCCACCCGAGACUCAGUGAAAUUGAACUCGCUGUGAAGAUGCAGUGUACCCGCGGCAAGACGGAAAGACCCCGUGAACCUUUACUAUAGCUUGACACUGAACAUUGAGCCUUGAUGUGUAGGAUAGGUGGGAGGCUUUGAAGCGUGGACGCCAGUCUGCGUGGAGCCAACCUUGAAAUACCACCCUUUAAUGUUUGAUGUUCUAACGUUGGCCCCUGACCGGGGUUGCGGACAGUGUCUGGUGGGUAGUUUGACUGGGGCGGUCUCCUCCCAAAGCGUAACGGAGGAGCACGAAGGUUAGCUAAUCCUGGUCGGACAUCAGGAGGUUAGUGCAAUGGCAUAAGCUAGCUUGACUGCGAGCGUGACGGCGCGAGCAGGUGCGAAAGCAGGUCAUAGUGAUCCGGUGGUUCUGAAUGGAAGGGCCAUCGCUCAACGGAUAAAAGGUACUCCGGGGAUAACAGGCUGAUACCGCCCAAGAGUUCAUAUCGACGGCGGUGUUUGGCACCUCGAUGUCGGCUCAUCACAUCCUGGGGCUGAAGUAGGUCCCAAGGGUAUGGCUGUUCGCCAUUUAAAGUGGUACGCGAGCUGGGUUUAGAACGUCGUGAGACAGUUCGGUCCCUAUCUGCCGUGGGCGCUGGAGAAUUGAGGGGGGCUGCUCCUAGUACGAGAGGACCGGAGUGGACGCAUCACUGGUGUUCGGGUUGUCAUGCCAAUGGCACUGCCCGGUAGCUAAAUGCGGAAGAGAUAAGUGCUGAAAGCAUCUAAGCACGAAACUUGCCCCGAGAUGAGUUCUCCCUGAGACUAUAAGUCUCCUGAAGGAACGUUAAAGACGAUGACGUUGAUAGGCCGGGUGUGUAAGCGCAGCGAUGCGUUGAGCUAACCGGUACUAAUGAACCGUGAGGCUUAACCUU